UACGGAGGGGGCUAGCGUUGUUCGGAAUUACUGGGCGUAAAGCGCGCGUAGGCGGACCUGCAAGUCGGGGGUGAAAGCCCGAGGCUCAACCUCGGAACUGCCUUCGAUACUGCGGGUCUCGAGUCCGGGAGAGGUGAGUGGAAUUCCUAGUGUAGAGGUGAAAUUCGUAGAUAUUAGGAAGAACACCAGUGGCGAAGGCGGCUCACUGGCCCGGUACUGACGCUGAGGCGCGAAAGCUAGGGGAGCGAACGGG
This 253-nucleotide ribosomal RNA is filed under the name uncultured bacterium. Its description in RNAcentral is "partial 16S ribosomal RNA". It matches the Rfam family "Bacterial small subunit ribosomal RNA", at positions 524 to 776 of the family's 1533-position model. The record is from RNAcentral.